RNAcentral lists this ribosomal RNA (2921 nucleotides) under Bacillus anthracis str. Western North America USA6153. RNAcentral describes it as "bacterial LSU rRNA". It matches the Rfam family "Bacterial large subunit ribosomal RNA". Lineage: Bacteria; Bacillati; Bacillota; Bacilli; Caryophanales; Bacillaceae. The record is from RNAcentral.
UUAAGUUAGAAAGGGCGCACGGUGGAUGCCUUGACACUAGGAGUCGAUGAAGGACGGGACUAACGCCGAUAUGCUUCGGGGAGCUGUAAGUAAGCUUUGAUCCGAAGAUUUCCGAAUGGGGAAACCCACCCAUACGUAAUGGUAUGGUAUCCUUAUCUGAAUACAUAGGGUAAGGAAGACAGACCCAGGGAACUGAAACAUCUAAGUACCUGGAGGAAGAGAAAGCAAAUGCGAUUUCCUGAGUAGCGGCGAGCGAAACGGAACAUAGCCCAAACCAAGAGGCUUGCCUCUUGGGGUUGUAGGACAUUCUAUACGGAGUUACAAAGGAACGAGGUAGACGAAGCGACCUGGAAAGGUCCGUCGUAGAGGGUAACAACCCCGUAGUCGAAACUUCGUUCUCUCUUGAAUGUAUCCUGAGUACGGCGGAACACGUGAAAUUCCGUCGGAAUCUGGGAGGACCAUCUCCCAAGGCUAAAUACUCCCUAGUGAUCGAUAGUGAACCAGUACCGUGAGAGAAAGGUGAAAAGCACCCCGGAAGGGGAGUGAAAGAGAUCCUGAAACCGUGUGCCUACAAAUAGUCAGAGCCCGUUAACGGGUGAUGGCGUGCCUUUUGUAGAAUGAACCGGCGAGUUACGAUCCCGUGCGAGGUUAAGCUGAAGAGGCGGAGCCGCAGCGAAAGCGAGUCUGAAUAGGGCGUUUAGUACGUGGUCGUAGACCCGAAACCAGGUGAUCUACCCAUGUCCAGGGUGAAGUUCAGGUAACACUGAAUGGAGGCCCGAACCCACGCACGUUGAAAAGUGCGGGGAUGAGGUGUGGGUAGCGGAGAAAUUCCAAUCGAACCUGGAGAUAGCUGGUUCUCCCCGAAAUAGCUUUAGGGCUAGCCUUAAGUGUAAGAGUCUUGGAGGUAGAGCACUGAUUGGACUAGGGGUCCUCAUCGGAUUACCGAAUUCAGUCAAACUCCGAAUGCCAAUGACUUAUCCUUAGGAGUCAGACUGCGAGUGAUAAGAUCCGUAGUCAAAAGGGAAACAGCCCAGACCGCCAGCUAAGGUCCCAAAGUGUGUAUUAAGUGGAAAAGGAUGUGGAGUUGCUUAGACAACUAGGAUGUUGGCUUAGAAGCAGCCACCAUUUAAAGAGUGCGUAAUAGCUCACUAGUCGAGUGACUCUGCGCCGAAAAUGUACCGGGGCUAAAUACACCACCGAAGCUGCGGAUUGAUACCAAUGGUAUCAGUGGUAGGGGAGCGUUCUAAGGACAGUGAAGUCAGACCGGAAGGACUGGUGGAGUGCUUAGAAGUGAGAAUGCCGGUAUGAGUAGCGAAAGACGGGUGAGAAUCCCGUCCACCGAAUGCCUAAGGUUUCCUGAGGAAGGCUCGUCCGCUCAGGGUUAGUCAGGACCUAAGCCGAGGCCGACAGGCGUAGGCGAUGGACAACAGGUUGAUAUUCCUGUACCACCUCUUUAUCGUUUGAGCAAUGGAGGGACGCAGAAGGAUAGAAGAAGCGUGCGAUUGGUUGUGCACGUCCAAGCAGUUAGGCUGAUAAGUAGGCAAAUCCGCUUAUCGUGAAGGCUGAGCUGUGAUGGGGAAGCUCCUUAUGGAGCGAAGUCUUUGAUUCCCCGCUGCCAAGAAAAGCUUCUAGCGAGAUAAAAGGUGCCUGUACCGCAAACCGACACAGGUAGGCGAGGAGAGAAUCCUAAGGUGUGCGAGAGAACUCUGGUUAAGGAACUCGGCAAAAUGACCCCGUAACUUCGGGAGAAGGGGUGCUUUCUUAACGGAAAGCCGCAGUGAAUAGGCCCAAGCGACUGUUUAGCAAAAACACAGCUCUCUGCGAAGCCGUAAGGCGAAGUAUAGGGGGUGACACCUGCCCGGUGCUGGAAGGUUAAGGAGAGGGGUUAGCGUAAGCGAAGCUCUGAACUGAAGCCCCAGUAAACGGCGGCCGUAACUAUAACGGUCCUAAGGUAGCGAAAUUCCUUGUCGGGUAAGUUCCGACCCGCACGAAAGGUGUAACGAUUUGGGCACUGUCUCAACCAGAGACUCGGUGAAAUUAUAGUACCUGUGAAGAUGCAGGUUACCCGCGACAGGACGGAAAGACCCCGUGGAGCUUUACUGUAGCCUGAUAUUGAAUUUUGGUACAGUUUGUACAGGAUAGGCGGGAGCCUUUGAAACCGGAGCGCUAGCUUCGGUGGAGGCGCUGGUGGGAUACCGCCCUGACUGUAUUGAAAUUCUAACCUACGGGUCUUAUCGACCCGGGAGACAGUGUCAGGUGGGCAGUUUGACUGGGGCGGUCGCCUCCUAAAGUGUAACGGAGGCGCCCAAAGGUUCCCUCAGAAUGGUUGGAAAUCAUUCGUAGAGUGCAAAGGCAUAAGGGAGCUUGACUGCGAGACCUACAAGUCGAGCAGGGACGAAAGUCGGGCUUAGUGAUCCGGUGGUUCCGCAUGGAAGGGCCAUCGCUCAACGGAUAAAAGCUACCCCGGGGAUAACAGGCUUAUCUCCCCCAAGAGUCCACAUCGACGGGGAGGUUUGGCACCUCGAUGUCGGCUCAUCGCAUCCUGGGGCUGUAGUCGGUCCCAAGGGUUGGGCUGUUCGCCCAUUAAAGCGGUACGCGAGCUGGGUUCAGAACGUCGUGAGACAGUUCGGUCCCUAUCCGUCGUGGGCGUAGGAAAUUUGAGAGGAGCUGUCCUUAGUACGAGAGGACCGGGAUGGACGCACCGCUGGUGUACCAGUUGUUCUGCCAAGGGCAUAGCUGGGUAGCUAUGUGCGGAAGGGAUAAGUGCUGAAAGCAUCUAAGCAUGAAGCCCCCCUCAAGAUGAGAUUUCCCAUAGCGUAAGCUAGUAAGAUCCCUGAAAGAUGAUCAGGUUGAUAGGUUCGAGGUGGAAGCAUGGUGACAUGUGGAGCUGACGAAUACUAAUAGAUCGAGGACUUAACCAU